This 655-nucleotide long non-coding RNA is filed under the name Homo sapiens (human). RNAcentral describes it as "NCK2 antisense RNA 1". The record is from RNAcentral. Lineage: Eukaryota; Metazoa; Chordata; Mammalia; Primates; Hominidae.
CUUCCGCUCCACGUAGUUGGACGGCCUCAACUUUUGCACUUCCGUGUCCAUCUCUGCAUUGCCCAAUUUUUGCAAGACUCUCCUGCUAAGGUGCUCUAGCUGGAAUCCUCCACUCUCAACAUCUGAUCAGGUUCCUCAUCCUCUACCAUCCCCCAGGUGACAGCUGAUCACCCUGUCCUGCCUUCAGAAGAAUCCUGUUCGCGUGUUGGAGGCAGGCCGUGUGCACUGCUAUUCUCGGGAGCAAAGAAGCAUCUUCUCUGUGGCUGCUCCCACUGAGCAUGGCUGACUCUUACAGGGCAGCAGCUUCUGAUUAACCAUUUUUAAGUGUACAGUUCAGUGGCCUCAAGUACAUUCACCCUGUUGUGCAAACAUCAACAUCAUCUAUCUGCAGAACUAUUUUCAUCUUGAAAAACUGGAAUAGGGAUUGCCCUAAUGUCUUCCACGGAGGCUGCAUCUACAAUUCCACCAACAGUACACAAGGGUACCAAGUUCUCUACAUCCUUGUCAACGCCUGUUAUUGUCUACUUUUUGACAGCAGUCAUCCUAUUGGGUGUAACGUAUACAUCAAUUUCUUAACUGAACAGUAUUUGUACUGCAUCCUCAAUAGAAUUUAUUAGCACAUAGCAAUUCUCAAUAAAAAGAAAAAUUUUAUACU